Non-coding RNA from Podarcis lilfordi (Lilford's wall lizard), 76 nucleotides. Lineage: Eukaryota; Metazoa; Chordata; Lepidosauria; Squamata; Lacertidae. The record is from the annotation of a GenBank genome assembly.
UGCAACAUAGCUCAGUCAGUAGAGCAUGAGACUCUUAAUCUCAGGGUUGUGGGGUUGAGCACCACACUGGGCGAAA